UACGUAGGGUGCAAGCGUUAAUCGGAAUUACUGGGCGUAAAGCGUGCGCAGGCGGUUGUGCAAGACAGAUGUGAAAUCCCCGGGCUUAACCUGGGAAUUGCAUUUGUGACUGCACGGCUAGAGUGUGUCAGAGGGGGGUAGAGUUCCACGUGUAGCAGUGAGAUGCGUAGAUAUGUGGAGGAAUACCGAUGGCGAAGGCAGCCCCCUGGGAUAACACUGACGCUCAUGCACGAAAGCGUGGGGAGCAAACAGG
Molecule: ribosomal RNA, 253 nt
Filed under: uncultured bacterium
Lineage: Bacteria
Description: partial 16S ribosomal RNA
Rfam family: Bacterial small subunit ribosomal RNA
Source: RNAcentral